AUUGAACGCUGGCGGCAGGCCUAACACAUGCAAGUCGAGCGGAUGAAGGGAGCUUGCUCCUGGAUUCAGCGGCGGACGGGUGAGUAAUGCCUAGGAAUCUGCCUGGUAGUGGGGGAUAACGUCCGGAAACGGGCGCUAAUACCGCAUACGUCCUGAGGGAGAAAGUGGGGGAUCGUCGGACCUCACGCUAUCAGAUGAGCCUAGGUCGGAUUAGCUAGUUGGUGGGGUAAAGGCCUACCAAGGCGACGAUCCGUAACUGGUCUGAGAGGAUGAUCAGUCACACUGGAACUGAGACACGGUCCAGACUCCUACGGGAGGCCGCAGUGGGGAAUAUUGGACAAUGGGCGAAAGCCUGAUCCAGCCAUGCCGCGUGUGUGAAGAAGGUCUUCGGAUUGUAAAGCACUUUAAGUUGGGAGGAAGGGCAGUAAGUUAAUACCUUGCUGUUUUGACGUUACCAACAGAAUAAGCACCGGCUAACUUCGUG
Molecule: ribosomal RNA, 484 nt
Filed under: uncultured bacterium
Lineage: Bacteria
Description: partial 16S ribosomal RNA
Rfam family: Bacterial small subunit ribosomal RNA
Source: RNAcentral